UUACCUGACCCCUGUACCUGAUGGAGGGGGAGUGUAGGACCCAGAAGUGACCACUGGCCUAGACAGGAAAUCAACCAGAAUGACACCUUGCAUGCUGUCGACAGCACCUGUGUGGAUGAGUUUUAGCUGCUGGAGUCAAUCCAGGUAUUAAGAUCACCAGGUGAAGUGAUGAGACUCCAUCUUCCCUCUCUGCAAUGCCUGAGGAUUCAUGGGAAAUGUAGGCAGCAUUAAGGAACCAUUUGCAGUCAGUAUGGCUAAAAACCCCACGCCUGCCACAUCAGCUAAAACAGAAAUCCUGACUUAUAAAAAAGACCACUAGGGGUCCCCAUACCAUCAAGGGCAUAAGCCGGUCCGGGUGUAGCAUCAUAUUUGUCCCAGCUGAAGCACAGGCUGGGACAAAGGCCAGUAAGUGAAGGUGGGACUAGCAUUCAUCAGUGCUCACUCCUGUCCUAUCAGACUUCAGUAUGAAAACAGAGAGGAGGGGGUUACAGAGAAGCCUGCAGUGAUUGGAUGAAGACCCUGUACAGCACAACAGACUCAGGGAGGAGGAGGAGUCAUACAGAGUGAAGACACGCCCCCUCCAUAGCACAAAAUGACAAAACAAGUUGAUUGGCGAUUGUUCAGGGCACAAAGUACAACUGAAAAUGGUCUCCAGGGUCGGACUGGAAUUCUUCUAUGGUACAGAAUCAAGCAGAGCUUCACAUGGGAUAAUACUUCUAGCAGACUAAUAUUAGUCACACUGAA
Hyla sarda is the source of this 744-nucleotide long non-coding RNA. RefSeq lists it as uncharacterized. The record is from RefSeq and is a predicted model, not a curated record. Lineage: Eukaryota; Metazoa; Chordata; Amphibia; Anura; Hylidae. The transcript is spliced from 3 exons.